AAGAGGUUGAUCGGCCACACUGGAACUGAGACACGGUCCAAACACCUACGGGUGGCAGCAGUAGGGAAUAUUGGGCAAGGGGCGCAAGCCUGACCCAGCCAUGCCGCGUGGAGGAUGAAGGCUUUUCGGGUCGUAAACUCUUUUUCUGAGGGAAGAAUAGCCUGUGCAGGAAAUGGUAUGGGUAUGACGGUACCUCAGGAAUAAGCAACGGCCAACUCCGUGCCAGCAGCCGCGGUAAUACGGAGGUUGCAAGCGUUGUUCGGAAUUACUGGGCGUAAAGGGAGCGCAGGCGGCCAAGUCAGUCUGAAGUGAAAUCCCGGGGCUUAACCUCGGAAGUGCUUUGGAUACUACUUGGCUAGAGUACGUGAGAGGUGAGCGGAAUUCCAGGUGUAGCGGUGAAAUGCGUAAAUAUCUGGAGGAACACCCGUGGCGAAAGCGGCUCACUGGCGCGUAACUGACGCUGAGGCUCGAAAGCGUGGGGAGCAAACGGGAUUAGAUACCCCGGUAGUCCACGCCAUAAACGAUGAGCUCUAGGUGUGGGAGGUAUCGACCCCUUCCGUGCCGCAGCUAACGCAUUAA
Molecule: ribosomal RNA, 579 nt
Filed under: uncultured bacterium
Lineage: Bacteria
Description: bacterial SSU rRNA
Rfam family: Bacterial small subunit ribosomal RNA
Source: RNAcentral